This 578-nucleotide small RNA is filed under the name Histoplasma capsulatum. RNAcentral describes it as "hypothetical RNA". RNAcentral also lists the same sequence under 1 other name. The record is from RNAcentral. Lineage: Eukaryota; Fungi; Ascomycota; Eurotiomycetes; Onygenales; Ajellomycetaceae.
GCAAUUGAGUUAAACCGAGGCCUUUACAACGGCGUCAGAUGUCGUCUCAGUUACGUUGAUGACAUUCGAGCUAUCCAUUCCCAGAUAGUUGUGGAAAAUGAUCCCGAUGAAGAGGCUCGCAAGGAGGCUCUGGAGAGGGAUGUGUUCGUCAUCCAGGUACUCUCCAUUGCACUAGACGAGAAACAUCAGCCAAAUAGCGCGGCCAACUUUGUUAGGAAGCUCGAUUUAAUGUGCGAAACAAUGUGGUUCCGUGAGGGAGAUCGCGCAGGUCUUCUAGACUAUGCUUGCGCAUUCCUAAAGCGAGACGCUCUCGAUCUACCUGGCAUUGAUGUCCCAUGAUACUAUCGUCACACAAUAUGUGUAUAUUUAUAUAUAUAUAUAUUCAUAAUGUGAUGGUAGCGUUUGGGGUCAGCGGAUUAGGGUGGGUAUGCUGCGACGGAUUGCGAUUUUAUCAGCCGAAAGUUCUCGUAAACCUCUAAAAAGCGAUGUUUAAAAAUCUCUGGAGAGCACGCUCGAAUCACAAGGACUUCUCCACAUGAGGAGAAAGAUUUAGUUCAAAGGAUGGGGCAUGAAUGGGG